RNAcentral lists this ribosomal RNA (702 nucleotides) under uncultured bacterium. RNAcentral's name for it is "bacterial SSU rRNA". It matches the Rfam family "Bacterial small subunit ribosomal RNA", at positions 140 to 828 of the family's 1533-position model. The record is from RNAcentral.
GGGAUACCACUUGGAAACAGGUGCUAAUACCGAAUAACAACAAUAACUGCAUGGCUAUUGCUUAAAAGGCGGCGAAAGCUGUCGUUAAAGGAUGGACCCGCGGUGCAUUAGCUAGUUGGUAAGGUAAUGGCUUACCAAGGCGACGAUGCAUAGCCGAGUUGAGAGACUGAUCGGCCACAUUGGGACUGAGACACGGCCCAAACUCCUACGGGAGGCAGCAGUAGGGAAUCUUCCACAAUGGGCGAAAGCCUGAUGGAGCAACGCCGCGUGAGUGAAGAAGGUUUUCGGAUCGUAAAGCUCUGUUGUUGGUGAAGAAGGAUAGAGGUAGUAACUGGCCCCUAUUUGACGGUAAUCAACCAGAAAGUCACGGCUAACUACGUGCCAGCAGCCGCGGUAAUACGUAGGUGGCAAGCGUUGUCCGGAUUUAUUGGGCGUAAAGCGAGCGCAGGCGGAAAGAUAAGUCUGAUGUGAAAGCCCCCGGCUUAACCGAGGAAUUGCAUCGGAAACUGUGUUUCUUGAGUGCAGAAGAGGAGAGUGGAACUCCAUGUGUAGCGGUGGAAUGCGUAGAUAUAUGGAAGAACACCAGUGGCGAAGGCGGCUCUCUGGUCUGUAACUGACGCUGAGGCUCGAAAGCAUGGGUAGCGAACAGGAUUAGAUACCCUGGUAGUCCAUGCCGUAAACGAUGAGUGAUAAGUGUUGGGA